ACAGAGAGAGAAAGAGGCAGAGACACAGGCAGAGGGAGAAGCAGGCUCCACGCAGGGAGCCUAAUGUGGGACUCAAUUCCGGGACUCCAGGAUCACGCUUGAAGGCAGGCCCUAAACCACUGAGCCACCCAGGCAUCCCUGCAACUCCUCUUAGGAUUGUGGCAUCCAUCUUGCUUUUUUUUCUCUCCCUGAGAUCUAAAUUCUGUCCGCUUAACCCAAGAGCUGUACUCCAGGGCUUGAAGGGAUUCCUCACAUAUUGCCUGCCUACUUACUUGGACAUUGGCGUGUAAACCACCUAAAUCCCCUGUCCCCUUACUCCAGGUUUAUACAUAAUUACAGGAUUGUCACACAGCUUCAUCUUGGUCACUGCUGCAAAUCAGAGACUAAAAUUCAAUUUAGAUUAUGAUACAACAAAAAUACCGAUUCUCCUUCCUUCAUUCAAGACUUUUCUGUCACCUCAUCUAAUCCCAUGCAGUCUGAAUUUGUCUCUCCCAAAUUGUAAUUCUGAUGCCAAGCUGUUCUCUCUCAUGCUCUCUGCCCUCCUUCCUGGAUUUUAAGCCUUAAAUAUAACACAGUGAUUCACAUGAAUCUAAAGCUAGAAAGUAGAGAAUGUUAAAAGAAAACACACAUAAGUCUGUGAAAAUACUCUGUAAAAUAAAAACACAAAGCAUAUACACCGAUCUAUCUUUUAAAUUUCAAGUGUAUAAUACCUUUUUACUCUACUAUUAGUCCUUAUCCACACCUAUGUGGCACAGUCUUUUUUUUAUUCCAACUUUCCAGUAAAAGAGAAAAUUAUCCUAUGCUUUCAUGAAUUUUGGGAUGGCUUUUUAAAGUCGAUAUUUCUUGAUUCUACCAAGACUAAUUCAUUAAAGAAAGCAACCUUCUUUCUUUUUUCUCUUUUCAUCCUUCAUUGCUAGAAAAAGUAAAAUGGAAAAGUGUGUAUCACUUGCUUGAAGUUAAAAAAAUAUAAGUUCAGAAUAUGAAUCCUUCAUUAGUGAGAAGGAGUUCUAUUUAAAAAAUUGGUAAUCAAAAUUAUUGAGAUCUAAACUUUUUGUUUGUUUAAGCACUAUAUUAUAAAUUAUUUCACUUGUGAAUAAUAGACUUAAAUAUAAAGAAAAUAUGUUGCUAACCCAUCAGUUGAGACAAUUUUGAGAAUUAAACUUGAUUCUGUUCUAUUAUAAGCAAGAGUAUCUUCGCGGCUUGUUUCCAGUUUUCUCUGCUUACCAUAGAUGAGAAUUCUUUUGGGAUGAAAUAUCAAAUAUAAGAUUUUGAAACAAAUUUGUUAAACAAAAUCACAAAACAAAAGUAGAAUGAAAGAUUAAUGAUGGUUCAUAAAAUUUAAAUUAUUUCAGGUAUUAACUAAAAGGAACUCACUGGAAUUUUAAUUCUUCUAACUAUGUAAAUCUCAUUUAUUCCACAAACAUUAUCAGAAUGAGAAGUGUGACUUUCAGCAUUUGUAAAAGCAGUUCAAACUAUCAUCACCUUAUGCUGAAAUUAAAAUUACAAACCCAGCAUAGUAAAAUUAAAAUGCUUUGGCUCAUUGUUAAAAUAAACAGUACACAAACUUUGUCCAUACUUCAAAAUCAUGAAUUUGUCAUUCUCUCUCACUGUUGUUCACUUGUCUUCCAGAUUGGAAACACCUGGACUUGGGCAUAUCUUCUGCAAAAGUCUAGCAGACAUAUUUAUGACUGCCCUCUGCAAAUCUUGAAAGUCUUCACCUUGCUUUUCCAUUAACCCUGGUCAAUACCCUUAGUAUUGACUAUUCCUACAGUUAUUCCUACGGCUUUAUACCCAGUAGUAGAAGACAAAAUACAAUAAUUACUUAUAAAUUAUAAUAUAUAAUUUCAAGUUGUAAUAGAAGUCAAGGUUGCUCUUGUUCCUAAAGGGAGAGAUUGGGACUUUUUAACUUGAUGCUAUUCUAACUAUUCAAAAUAUCAAAUUAAAUGACUAAGAUCAAGAUCUGGUCAAGAUAUUAAUGGAUUCACAUAUACUUUCCAGUCUUUAACCCUCUCUCAAGCCUUGAAAUAAAAUUAAACAGCAAAGCAAGUCAUGUGAAACAAACAAACAAACGAAUGAAUAAAACCAUGGACAAUAUCUAGAAUAAUAUUGACAAAGUAUCUUCACAAACCCAAAAUAUUUCCAUAGGAGCCUAACUGCACUCAGUAGCAAUACCUGGGUGGUGUCAGCAGCUCUGCAGGACUGGGUGGAUUAACGAAAUAAAAACUAUUCUAAUAGUGCUGAGAGUACGAGAAAUUGAAUUAUCAGCUGUUCCUCACCUUACAGUUUAGCAUCCUCACAGUAUGAAAAGAUUAACAGCUGCUAAAGAUGGACUUUGCAGGCUUUAGCUUUGACCAAGGCCUGAUGACUUACAAUAUUCUCUUCAUUUUAAGUACACAUAGAGGGAUACCUGGGUGGCUCAGCAGUUGAGUACCUGCCUUCUGCCCAGGGCGUGAUCCUGGAGUCCCCGGAUAGAGUCCCACAUCAGGCUCCCUGCAUGGAGUCUGCUUCUCCCUCUGCCUAUGUCUCUGCUUCUCUCUCUGUCUCUCAUGAAUAAAUAAAUAAAAUCCUAAAAGAAAAAUAAGUACACAUAGAACCUUGGCAAAAUUGUCUGUGUCUUGUCACAAAAAAGAUCUCAAUAAUUGUGAAAAAAUACAAAUAAUGCUAACAACACAAUUUUAAUGUUAUUGCAAUAAGUUAGGUAAAAAUACCACAAACACAAAACUAAAUGGUUUUAUUCCAUAACUUCAGAUUAAAUAGAAAUGCAAAAUGAAAUGAAAGAAUAAUUUUAAAAUAAUGGUAUAUUACAUAGUAUUUCAGACUGUGUAGGAAACAGCUAAAGGAGACUUGAGGAGGAAAUUAUGUACUGGUGCCUUUAAAAAUGAAAAUAAUUAAUUAAAUACUACUAAAGAAAAAAUAAGUAAAAUAAGAUUUUUAAAAAAGCAGAGGAAUGGAAUUAAUAAAUUUAAGCCAGAAAGAAAAAAGUUUAAAAAACAAAA
RNAcentral lists this long non-coding RNA (2996 nucleotides) under Canis lupus familiaris (dog). RNAcentral's name for it is "lncRNA (ENSCAFG00845028784.1)". The record is from RNAcentral. Lineage: Eukaryota; Metazoa; Chordata; Mammalia; Carnivora; Canidae.